GGAACCUUGCGUUCCAUUAGCUAGUUGGUGGGGUAAAGGCCUACCAAGGCGAUGAUCGAUAGCUGGUCUGACAGGAUGAUCAAUCCCACUGGGACUGAAACACGGCCCAAACUCCUACGGGAGGCAGCAGUGGGGAAUAUUGGACCUGGGCGCAAGCCUGAUCCAGCAAUGCCGCGUGUGUGAAGAAUGUUUUCGGAUUGUAAAGCUCUUUCAGCGGGGACGAUGAUGACGGUACCCGCUUAAGAAGCCCCGGCUAACUUCGUGCCAGCAGCCGCGGUAAUACGAAGGGGGCAAGCGUUGCUCGGAAUGACUGGGCGUAAAGGGCGCGUACGCGGUUGACACAGUCAGGUGUGAAAUUCCCGGGCUUAACCUGGGGUCUGCAU
This 383-nucleotide ribosomal RNA is filed under the name uncultured bacterium. Its description in RNAcentral is "bacterial SSU rRNA". It matches the Rfam family "Bacterial small subunit ribosomal RNA", at positions 225 to 626 of the family's 1533-position model. The record is from RNAcentral.